Molecule: ribosomal RNA, 467 nt
Filed under: uncultured bacterium
Lineage: Bacteria
Description: partial 16S ribosomal RNA
Rfam family: Bacterial small subunit ribosomal RNA
Source: RNAcentral
GACGAACGCUGGCGGCGUGCUUAACACAUGCAAGUCGAACGGAGAGGCCCUGCUUUUGUGGGGUGCUCGAGUGGCGAACGGGUGAGUAACACGUGAGUAACCUGCCCUUGACUUUGGGAUAACUUCAGGAAACUGGGGCUAAUACCGGAUAGGAGCUCCUGCUGCAUGGUGGGGGUUGGAAAGUUUCGGCGGUUGGGGAUGGACUCGCGGCUUAUCAGCUUGUUGGUGGGGUAGUGGCUUACCAAGGCUUUGACGGGUAGCCGGCCUGAGAGGGUGACCGGCCACAUUGGGACUGAGAUACGGCCCAGACUCCUACGGGAGGCAGCAGUGGGGAAUAUUGCACAAUGGGCGGAAGCCUGAUGCAGCAACGCCGCGUGCGGGAGGACGGCCUUCGGGUUGUAAACCGCUUUCGCCUGUGACGAAGCGUGAGUGACGGUAAUGGGUAAAGAAGCACCGGCUAACUACGU